Molecule: long non-coding RNA, 424 nt
Organism: Macrobrachium nipponense
Lineage: Eukaryota; Metazoa; Arthropoda; Malacostraca; Decapoda; Palaemonidae
Exons: 3
Source: RefSeq, a predicted model, not a curated record
UGGUCAAACGUCAGGUCAGGUUCCGCUGAAACCGAUAGAAAGUUGCACAGUCUUCCCGACGUAGUGGAAUCGUAAACAAGUAAACAGUCACCUGUUGUAGUAGUAGACUACUACUAUAUUCAUUUGUAACUCGUAGUACAACAAAGCCAGGCCUACAAAUACAGAAUGACCGAAUACUACUACGAUGCAUCUUACGAAAUUCAGUGCCCUGCCUGUAAGGGAACAAAAUAUCGAAAUCCUCAGAUGAAGCUCAUGGUCAAUGUUUGUGGACACCCAUUAUGUGAUUCUUGUGUGCGGAUGUAUUUUUUAAAAGAAUCUGCUCAGUGUCCAGAGUGUGGAAUUGUUUUAAAGCGAUCCAAGUUUCGUGUUCAGGUCUUUGAAGAUCCUUUGGUAGAAAAGGAAAUAGACAUUCGGCGAAAGGUAA